Long non-coding RNA from Lucilia cuprina (Australian sheep blowfly), 593 nucleotides. RefSeq lists it as uncharacterized. The record is from RefSeq and is a predicted model, not a curated record. The transcript is spliced from 2 exons. NCBI's taxonomy places the organism in Eukaryota, Metazoa, Arthropoda, Insecta, Diptera, Calliphoridae.
AUUGACACUCUGAGGCGGUAGAGGUUUUGUUUUUUUUUUUUUUGGUAUUAAUUGUAUGUAUUUGAAUAAUAAAAUAUUCAGAAGUGAAACGUUUAGGAGACUUGUUUUAUGUUUGCGGGGUUUCAGUCAAAUCAGUCUUACUCGCCGUGUGCUAACGUAACAACGUCUUAAUAGAAAAACGUCUUGUAAUUUUGUGUGCUAUCAAAAAACUAAAAAAACAACAACAAAAAUAAAGAGUGAAUUUACACUUAAGUGGUUAAAAACACAAAAAACACGUUAUUAACGUCAUCAAUAAUUAGUUUUCUUUUUUUUGUUUGAAAACUCUUUGUUCAAUUCAAUUGCUAGAUCUGCGCAUUCAUUGAUCGUUUAGCUCUCAACGUUCUUACACUCGUUUCGAAGCUGUUGUUCCGUUUCGUACGUAUAUUUGAUCCGUCGUUGUACGCGUUCGCUGGGUGGUUGUUUCAACCAAGAUUUUGCUAAGAUGCUGGUCUCCUUUCGCCAUGCGAAGCCUUGCUUCGUUGUGUUAAAAUUGCUCCACUAACGUGUGCUUGCAACAAUUACCGUGUUUUCAUCUUUUUUUGGGGAAAAAAUAA